UACAGAGGUGGCAAGCGUUGUUCGGAAUUACUGGGCGUAAAGGGCGCGUAGGCGGUCCUGUAAGUCUUGUGUGAAAUCCCUCGGCUUAACUGAGGAACUGCACAGGAUACUGCGAGACUUGAGUUCGGGAGAGGGAAGCGGAAUUCCGGGUGUAGCGGUGAAAUGCGUAGAUAUCCGGAGGAACACCGGUGGCGAAGGCGGCGUUCUGGACUGUCUCUGACACUGAAGAACGAAAGCCAGGGGAGCAAACGGG
Molecule: ribosomal RNA, 253 nt
Filed under: uncultured bacterium
Lineage: Bacteria
Description: partial 16S ribosomal RNA
Rfam family: Bacterial small subunit ribosomal RNA
Source: RNAcentral